Molecule: ribosomal RNA, 468 nt
Filed under: uncultured bacterium
Lineage: Bacteria
Description: partial 16S ribosomal RNA
Rfam family: Bacterial small subunit ribosomal RNA
Source: RNAcentral
GACGAACGCUGGCGGCGUGCUUAACACAUGCAAGUCGAACGGAAAGGCCCUGCUUUUGUGGGGUGCUCGAGUGGCGAACGGGUGAUUAACACGUGAGUAACCUGCCCUUGACUUUGGGAUAACUUCAGGAAACUGGGGCUAAUAUCGGAUAGGAGCUCCUGCUGCAUGGUGGGGGUUGGAAAGUUUCGGCGGUUGGGGAUGGACUCGCGUCUUAUCAGCUUGUUGGUGGGGUAGUGGCUUACCAAGGCUUUGACGGGUAGCCGGCCUGAGAGGGUGACCGGCCACAUUGGGACUGAGAUACGGCACAGACUACUACGGGAGGCAGCAGUGGGGAAUAUUGCACAAUGGGAGGAAGCCUGAUGCAGCAACGCCGCGUGCGGGAUGACGGCCUUCGGGUUGUAAACCGCUUUCGCCUGUGACGAAGCGUGAGUGACGGUAAUGGGUAAAGAAGCACCGGCUAACUACGUG